UAGGGAAUCUUCCACAAUGGACGCAAGUCUGAUGGAGCAACGCCGCGUGAGUGAAGAAGGUCUUCGGAUCGUAAAGCUCUGUUGUUGGUGAAGAAGGAUAGAGGCAGUAACUGGUCUUUAUUUGACGGUAAUCAACCAGAAAGUCACGGCUAACUACGUGCCAGCAGCCGCGGUAAUACGUAGGUGGCAAGCGUUGUCCGGAUUUAUUGGGCGUAAAGCGAGCGCAGGCGGAAUGAUAAGUCNGAUGUGAAAGCCCACGGCUCACG
This 266-nucleotide ribosomal RNA is filed under the name uncultured bacterium. RNAcentral's name for it is "partial 16S ribosomal RNA". It matches the Rfam family "Bacterial small subunit ribosomal RNA", at positions 355 to 613 of the family's 1533-position model. The record is from RNAcentral.